RNAcentral lists this ribosomal RNA (253 nucleotides) under uncultured bacterium. RNAcentral's name for it is "partial 16S ribosomal RNA". It matches the Rfam family "Bacterial small subunit ribosomal RNA", at positions 524 to 776 of the family's 1533-position model. The record is from RNAcentral.
UACGUAGGGUGCAAGCGUUGUCCGGAAUUAUUGGGCGUAAAGAGCUCGUAGGCGGUUUGUCGCGUCUGCUGUGAAAAUCCAGGGCUUAACCCUGGACCUGCAGUGGGUACGGGCAGACUGGAGUGCGGUAGGGGAGAUCGGAAUUCCUGGUGUAGCGGUGAAAUGCGCAGAUAUCAGGAGGAACACCGGUGGCGAAGGCGGAUCUCUGGGCCGUAACUGACGCUGAUGCGCGAAAGCGUGGGGAGCAAACGGG